This 355-nucleotide ribosomal RNA is filed under the name uncultured Funneliformis. Its description in RNAcentral is "SSU rRNA". It matches the Rfam family "Eukaryotic small subunit ribosomal RNA", at positions 569 to 929 of the family's 1831-position model. Lineage: Eukaryota; Fungi; Glomeromycota; Glomeromycetes; Glomerales; Glomeraceae. The record is from RNAcentral.
AGCAGCCGCGGUAAUUCCAGCUCCAAUAGCGUAUAUUAAAGUUGUUGCAGUUAAAAAGCUCGUAGUUGAAUUUCGGGAUCAAUUGAUUGGUCAUGCCUUGGUAUGAACUGGUCAUAUUGGUUCUCACCUUCUAAUGAACCAUAAUGUCAUUCACUUGAUGUUAUGGGGAAUUAGGACUGUUACCUUGAAAAAAUUAGAGUGUUUAAAGCAGGCUUACGCUUGAAUACAUUAGCAUGGAAUAAUGAAAUAGGACAUCGCAUUCUAUUUUGUUGGUUUCUAGGAUCGAUGUAAUGAUUAAUAGGGAUAGUUGGGGGCAUUAGUAUUCAAUUGUCAGAGGUGAAAUACUUGGAUUUAG